RNAcentral lists this ribosomal RNA (397 nucleotides) under uncultured bacterium. RNAcentral describes it as "bacterial SSU rRNA". It matches the Rfam family "Bacterial small subunit ribosomal RNA", at positions 413 to 796 of the family's 1533-position model. The record is from RNAcentral.
GGCCUUCGGGUUGUAAACUGCUUUUGUACGGAACGAAAAGGCCCUGGUGAACAACCGGGGUUGCUGACGGUACCGUAAGAAUAAGCACCGGCUAACUACGUGCCAGCAGCCGCGGUAAUACGUAGGGUGCGAGCGUUAAUCGGAAUUACUGGGCGUAAAGCGUGCGCAGGCGGACAUGCAAGACAGAUGUGAAAUCCCCGGGCUCAACCUGGGAACUGCAUAUGUGACUGUAUGACUUGGAGUACGGCAGAGGGGGAUGGAAUUCCGCGUGUAGCAGUGAAAUGCGUAGAUAUGCCGGAGGAACACCCGAUGGCGAAGGCAAUCCCCCUGGGGCCAGUACUGACGCUCAUGCACGAAAGCGUGGGGGAGCAAACAGGAUUAGAUACCCUGGUAGUCC